This 437-nucleotide ribosomal RNA is filed under the name Bacillus subtilis. RNAcentral describes it as "bacterial SSU rRNA". It matches the Rfam family "Bacterial small subunit ribosomal RNA", at positions 1061 to 1498 of the family's 1533-position model. Lineage: Bacteria; Bacillati; Bacillota; Bacilli; Caryophanales; Bacillaceae. The record is from RNAcentral.
CGUGUCGUGAGAUGUUGGGUUAAGUCCCGCAACGAGCGCAACCCUUGAUCUUAGUUGCCAGCAUUCAGUUGGGCACUCUAAGGUGACUGCCGGUGACAAACCGGAGGAAGGUGGGGAUGACGUCAAAUCAUCAUGCCCCUUAUGACCUGGGCUACACACGUGCUACAAUGGACAGAACAAAGGGCAGCGAAACCGCGAGGUUAAGCCAAUCCCACAAAUCUGUUCUCAGUUCGGAUCGCAGUCUGCAACUCGACUGCGUGAAGCUGGAAUCGCUAGUAAUCGCGGAUCAGCAUGCCGCGGUGAAUACGUUCCCGGGCCUUGUACACACCGCCCGUCACACCACGAGAGUUUGUAACACCCGAAGUCGGUGAGGUAACCUUUUAGGAGCCAGCCGCCGAAGGUGGGACAGAUGAUUGGGGUGAAGUCGUAACAAGGUA